UACGUAGGGAGCGAGCGUUGUCCGGAAUCAUUGGGCGUAAAGCGCGCGUAGGCGGCCCGAUAAGUCCGCUGUGAAAGUCAACGGCUCAACUGUUGGAUGCCGGUGGAUACUGUCGGGCUAGAGUACGGAAGAGGCAAGUGGAAUUCCUGGUGUAGCGGUGGAAUGCGCAGAUAUCAGGAGGAACACCUAUAGCGAAGGCAGCUUGCUGGGACGUUACUGACGCUAAGGCGCGAAAGCGUGGGGAGCGAAC
Molecule: ribosomal RNA, 250 nt
Filed under: uncultured Actinomycetes bacterium
Lineage: Bacteria; Bacillati; Actinomycetota; Actinomycetes
Description: uncultured actinobacterium partial 16S ribosomal RNA
Rfam family: Bacterial small subunit ribosomal RNA
Source: RNAcentral